AACGAACGCUGGCGGCAUGCCUAACACAUGCAAGUCGAACGAGACCUUCGGGUCUAGUGGCGCACGGGUGCGUAACGCGUGGGAACCUGCCCUUAGGUUCGGAAUAACUCCCCGAAAGAGGUGCUAAUACCGGAUAAUGUCUUCGGACCAAAGAUUUAUCGCCUUUGGAUGGGCCCGCGUUGGAUUAGCUAGUUGGUAGGGUAAAAGCCUACCAAGGCGACGAUCCAUAGCUGGUCUGAGAGGAUGAUCAGCCACACUGGGACUGAGACACGGACCAGACUCCUACGGGAGGCAGCAGUGGGGAAUAUUGGACAAUGGGCGAAAGCCUGAUCCAGCAAUGCCGCGUGAGUGAUGAAGGCCUUAGGGUUGUAAAGCUCUUUUACCCGGGAUGAUAAUGACAGUACCGGGAGAAUAAGCUCCGGCUAACUCCGUG
This 433-nucleotide ribosomal RNA is filed under the name uncultured bacterium. Its description in RNAcentral is "partial 16S ribosomal RNA". It matches the Rfam family "Bacterial small subunit ribosomal RNA", at positions 29 to 507 of the family's 1533-position model. The record is from RNAcentral.